AUAAUGGGUCAGCGACUUAUAUUCUGUAGCAAGGUUAACCGAAUAGGGGAGCCGAAGGGAAACCGAGUCUUAACUGGGCGUUAAGUUGCAGGGUAUAGACCCGAAACCCGGUGAUCUAGCCAUGGGCAGGUUGAAGGUUGGGUAACACUAACUGGAGGACCGAACCGACUAAUGUUGAAAAAUUAGCGGAUGACUUGUGGCUGGGGGUGAAAGGCCAAUCAAACCGGGAGAUAGCUGGUUCUCCCCGAAAGCUAUUUAGGUAGCGCCUCGUGAAUUCAUCUCCGGGGGUAGAGCACUGUUUCGGCAAGGGGGUCAUCCCGACUUACCAACCCGAUGCAAACUGCGAAUACCGGAGAAUGUUAUCACGGGAGACACACGGCGGGUGCUAACGUCCGUCGUGAAGAGGGAAACAACCCAGACCGCCAGCUAAGGUCCCAAAGUCAUGGUUAAGUGGGAAACGAUGUGGGAAGGCCCAGACAGCCAGGAUGUUGGCUUAGAAGCAGCCAUCAUUUAAAGAAAGCGUAAUAGCUCACUGGUCGAGUCGGCCUGCGCGGAAGAUGUAACGGGGCUAAACCAUGCACCGAAGCUGCGGCAGCGACACUGUGUGUUGUUGGGUAGGGGAGCGUUCUGUAAGCCUGUGAAGGUGUGCUGUGAGGCAUGCUGGAGGUAUCAGAAGUGCGAAUGCUGACAUAAGUAACGAUAAAGCGGGUGAAAAGCCCGCUCGCCGGAAGACCAAGGGUUCCUGUCCAACGUUAAUCGGGGCAGGGUGAGUCGACCCCUAAGGCGAGGCCGAAAGGCGUAGUCGAUGGGAAACAGGUUAAUAUUCCUGUACUUGGUGUUACUGCGAAGGGGGGACGGAGAAGGCUAUGUUGGCCGGGCGACGGUUGUCCCGGUUUAAGCGUGUAGGCUGGUUUUCCAGGCAAAUCCGGAAAAUCAAGGCUGAGGCGUGAUGACGAGGCACUACGGUGCUGAAGCAACAAAUGCCCUGCUUCCAGGAAAAGCCUCUAAGCAUCAGGUAACAUCAAAUCGUACCCCAAACCGACACAGGUGGUCAGGUAGAGAAUACCAAGGCG
Molecule: ribosomal RNA, 1073 nt
Filed under: Escherichia coli
Lineage: Bacteria; Pseudomonadati; Pseudomonadota; Gammaproteobacteria; Enterobacterales; Enterobacteriaceae
Description: partial 23S ribosomal RNA
Rfam family: Bacterial large subunit ribosomal RNA
Source: RNAcentral